AAGGAGGGGACGGAGGCGGAGGAGGGAAAAUAGAGAGACGGGUGGAGGGCUGCAAAGCGGGGGGUAAAGCUUCGGGUGGCUUAAGGAGCGCUAAGGAGAGGGGAGCGGAGGAGCAGGAGGGGGAGGAUCCCCUAGCGGCCUCUCCUUAGCGCUGCUCCCGAAGGAGGAUAGUCAAUUUAGUUUCGGUACCUCGUGUUCCUCUGGCCGACGGUCAGAGCCCUCCCGGGGUAGGAAACGCAGUUAUUAACACCGAAGAAGCCGUCGCGCCGCUGGUACUUGUACACGAGGUUCACGGUGUUCCUCUACCGCUACUUCGUCCUCGUCCGUUUCGACCGGCGGAGGAGAAAGCUGUCGUAGCAGUUGCCACCGCUACGGCGCUUUCUUGUAGAACGACGACCGUCGUGCCGCCACCGUCAACGAGUGCAACUCCGCUUCUGCGAAUAAUGGCGUGUCGGACGACUAUAGCGACCAGGUUCGCUCCCCCGCUACCUCUUGGGGUUUCCGGGUUCGGCCACGUCGUGGACGUCUUUCUCCCAGCCCGACUGGCCUAAGUUGACGGCCACACCCUUGGACAUGACGCGUUGCGUGGCAAUGAGCCUGUUCGUGCUCACGUUCAAACUGAUGGCGCGGCGCCGGUACCUGCGGUAGCGGUUCCGGUUGGGUCACCACUUCCGCCUCUUCGAACUGUUCUAGAUCCUUCCCAGGGGGGAUGCCAGCCGUCUUGUAUUCCAGGGUUUAGUUUAGACGCGAUGGAGCAGUAGCACGCAGAACGACGUAAUAGGAAAGUAGUACAACCGAAGACGUUAGAAUCAACAACCCGUUAGCACUACGUACCGUGUGCGCGGAGCCGCCGUCGGGGUCCAGGCUUGCCAGAGGAACAACCGAUACAACACAUUCGAAAUAAAUACCAGCAGAGAGACGCGCCGCCUUGCCCUUGCCAUAACACCGAAAGCGUAAAACCGAUCGUGAGACAUUACAUGACGACAAAGGAGGGCCACAGACAGACAGACAGAAUGUCAGCGUUGGCCAUUACCAUAGCUCAUUCGCAGCAGCAGACAAUAAUACCAUGGGUACCACUAGGGGGGAACAGUUA
Molecule: ribosomal RNA, 1093 nt
Filed under: Triticum aestivum (bread wheat)
Lineage: Eukaryota; Viridiplantae; Streptophyta; Magnoliopsida; Poales; Poaceae
Description: partial small subunit ribosomal RNA
Source: RNAcentral